Molecule: long non-coding RNA, 617 nt
Organism: Mustela erminea (ermine)
Lineage: Eukaryota; Metazoa; Chordata; Mammalia; Carnivora; Mustelidae
Exons: 5
Source: RefSeq, a predicted model, not a curated record
GCAGUUUGCAGAUCUGGUGCGUGCGGCGGUUGGUGCAGCUGGUGCAGGCCCCGCAGUUCUCCAGCCGCCGGCAGGGCUCACAGACAGUCAAGAGUGCACAAGGGUGAAGGCAAGUAACUCCAGUAUCCAGAAUGGGCGCCUCUUCACCUCCUCUGCAGCACUCUGGCCGGGCUCAGCCGGGGGCCACUCUCCCAUCUGCUGGAGCCUGGGAUCUGGGGCAGGACACCAGCAGCGGUCCCCAGAGAAGGGAUCAUCUUGGCUGGGCGGGCUCUUCACCCUCACCCACCCUGGACCCAGGCAUGAGUGGCCAAAGCAAGUCGCAAGGUGGCCAGGAAGAACUGUGCAGGCAAUGCUCCCAAGUGCCUGCAAGGAGAAGCAAACAUUUGGUUAACAGCACUAAUAACACACAGGGAAUAGCGGAUGUGGAUAUUCGAGGGGUGUACAUGGAUCCCACCACCGUUGAUUCAGACCUCCUGGGCCUAGCAGUCUCACCAGAGCCCUAGACUUGAAAAGACGGGGAACCUGGACCAUCCUGCAGCCUAUCAGGAGAAGAAGUUUCAAAGUCUAGGCUCUCCAGGGGGUCCUGGCUGGCUCAGUCAUUUAUCGUCUGCCCUCAG